This 129-nucleotide microRNA precursor is filed under the name Myotis lucifugus (little brown bat). RNAcentral's name for it is "miRNA (ENSMLUG00000030166.1)". The record is from RNAcentral. Lineage: Eukaryota; Metazoa; Chordata; Mammalia; Chiroptera; Vespertilionidae.
GGAUGCCUGGUUCAGUUUUAAUUUCAGAUAAACAAGGUAUAAUUUUUAGCAUAAGUACUUACCAUGCAACAUUUGGGACAUACUUAUACUACUAAUAAUCUGUUUGUUUUGAAAUUCAAAUUCAGCUGG